Astatotilapia calliptera (eastern happy) is the source of this 797-nucleotide long non-coding RNA. NCBI's taxonomy places the organism in Eukaryota, Metazoa, Chordata, Actinopteri, Cichliformes, Cichlidae. The record is from Ensembl.
GCACGCUCGUGCGUGUGUGUGUGUGUGUGUGUGUCCAUGUCUACAUCUCAAAAGCCAUAUCUGGCUUCAGAUCAAAUGGUGUAUGAAGGAAGGGAAUGACAGAGAGAGAAAGUGAUAGCUCUUUAAUGUUACCUAUCCACUCUCAAACCCAAAUAUAAGACCAGGAACACAAGGAAUAGGCAAGUGUGUUUUAGAGGAAAAGGAGUGACAUGAAACACUUAUGUAGAAAAGCUGUGAACAUGACGUCGGCUUUGUAGCGGCAGGAAAAUGUCUCACAAAACCGAAAGAAAGUGAGUAAAUUGGAUGCAAGCAAGAGGGAAGGCAGGGGCACGGAAUGAAACGGCAGCGUGCACUGUAUUGUUUGCUCGUGUGUGUCAGCGAUGUUUUGUUUUUGACUGAAUGCUGUCGUGUCUAACUCACCUUUUGCUCAUUUUUCCCCAUUCCUGUUCCGGGAUGUUUAAACUUUCACUGUCAUCAGUGAAGGUGUCAUGGUAUGUAGCCUGAGCUGGAAUGGAUGAAAAUAUUUACUGUGUACACACCAUCCACAAAUCCUUUCCCUCUCUUGAUCCCUGGCUUUUAUUGUUUCCCUUCUCUCCCUGCUUUUUACUCCUGUCUUUGAACACGUGCACGCUCUGACACAGAUACGUGAAGAUAUGUGAAUAAAGGUGUUUCUAACAUAGGCUACUGUCCUUCUCUUUUGUGUGGUUAUUACACAUAGUAUCAAAUACACACAGAUGUUCAGUCCUCCACAUUCCACUUGUUGUUGCUCGCUCUUUUUGUCUUUACUACGAAAUUUC